This 1701-nucleotide ribosomal RNA is filed under the name Triticum aestivum (bread wheat). RNAcentral describes it as "partial small subunit ribosomal RNA". The record is from RNAcentral. Lineage: Eukaryota; Viridiplantae; Streptophyta; Magnoliopsida; Poales; Poaceae.
AUGGCGUCCUCCGGGCUGCUCCUUUUCCUCGGCUGCCUCGCGUCCGCCCUGCUCGCCGGCGCCACCAAAGUGCACCACCACGAGUUCAUCGUCCAAGAGACGCCGGUGAAGAGGCUGUGCGAGGAGCACAACAUCAUCACGGUGAACGGGCAGUUCCCGGGGCCGACGCUGGAGGUCCGGGAGGGGGACACGCUGGUCGUCAACGUCGUCAACCAGGCGCAGUACAACGUCACCAUCCACUGGCACGGCAUCCGGCAGUUCAGGACGGGGUGGGCGGACGGGCCCGAGUUCGUGACGCAGUGCCCCAUCAAGCCCGGCGGCAGCUACAAGUACCGCUUCACCAUCGAGGGCCAGGAGGGCACCCUGUGGUGGCACGCCCACAGCUCCUGGCUCCGGGCCACCGUCUACGGCGCGCUCAUCAUCCGGCCCCGGGAGGACAAGCCCUACCCCUUCGACAAGCCCGCCCGCGAGGUCCCCAUCCUCCUCGGCGAGUGGUGGAACGCCAACCCCGUCGAGGUCAUCCGCGAGGCGCAGAGGACCGGCGGCGCGCCCAACGUCUCCGACGCCUUCACCGUCAACGGCCAGCCCGGCGACCUCUACAACUGCUCCCGCCAAGACACCACGGCGAUCUCGGUGAAGCCCGGGGAGACGGCGCUGCUGCGGUUCAUCAACUCUGCGCUCAACCAUGAGCUCUUCGUCUCCAUCGCCAGCCACAAGAUGACGGUCGUCGGCGUCGACGCGUCCUACACCAAGCCGUUCGUCACCUCCGUGCUCAUGAUCGCGCCGGGCCAGACCACCGACGUGCUCGUCACCAUGGACCAGGCGCCCACGCGGUACUACAUCGCCGCGCGCGGCUACGUCACCACGCAGGGCGUGGCGUUCGACAACACCACCACCACCGCCAUCCUCGAGUACGACUGCGGCUGCACCACCGACUUCGGCCCCUCGAUCCCGCCGGCGUUCCCGACCCUCCCGGCCUUCAACGACACCGGCGCCGCCACGGCCUUCGCCGCGGGCAUCAAGAGCCCGCGAAAGGUCGAGAUACCCAGCCCCGUCGACGAGAACCUCUUCUUCACCGUCGGCCUCGGGCUGUUCAACUGCGAGCCGGGGCAGCUGUGCGCCGGGCCGAACAACAACACCCGCUUCACGGCCAGCAUGAACAACGUCUCGUUCGUCUUCCCCAAGGCCACCUCCCUCCUCCACGCGCACUACUACGACAUGCCGGGCGUGUACACCACCGACUUCCCGGCCAACCCGCCGGUGCAGUUCGACUACACGGCGCAGAACGUCAGCCAAAGCCUGUGGCAGCCGAUCCCGGCGACCAAGCUGUACAAGCUCAGGUUCGGCUCCGUGGUGCAGGUCGUCCUGCAGGACACCAGCAUCGUCACGCCGGAGAACCACCCCAUCCACCUCCACGGCUACGACUUCUACAUCCUCGCCGAGGGCUUCGGCAACUACGACGCCGAGAAGGACGCCGCGAAGUUCAACCUCGAGAACCCACCGCAGAGGAACACCGUGGCGGUGCCGGUGAACGGCUGGGCGGUCAUCCGGUUCCGCGCCGACAACCCGGGGGUGUGGCUCAUGCAUUGCCAUCUCGAUGUGCACAUCACCUGGGGCCUGGCAAUGGCGUUUCUGGUCGAGGACGGGUAUGGCGAGCUACAGUCACUGGAGGCGCCUCCAGUUGAUCUUCCAAUGUGCUAA